Musa acuminata AAA Group (dessert banana) is the source of this 1148-nucleotide long non-coding RNA. RefSeq lists it as uncharacterized. The record is from RefSeq and is a predicted model, not a curated record. Lineage: Eukaryota; Viridiplantae; Streptophyta; Magnoliopsida; Zingiberales; Musaceae. The transcript is spliced from 2 exons.
UAGAUGUAAGCAAAUACAAACUAAGAUGAAAGACUUGUGACUGGAAGUUUCAUCAAGCAGGCUUGAAGGAGGAGAUCAUUUACUUUGACUGAUGCAUCUGUUUCAGGUCACUUUGUUUCGACUCACGCUUUUCAGCUUCUUUGACUCGAGUGAUAAGGUGGUCAGCUUCUUCCACCUGAUGGCUGAUUAUUCUGUAGAACUGCUACUGUCUGCAUUCUAUUUUCAGCUGAGCGUGGAAAGAAAUCCACAUCGGAAAGGAUUAGAUCACUUUGCUUGACUAAUUUAUUGCACCUUCCAUGGAAUUCUAAUGUGGAGGCAUGGGUCUGAAGAAACAGAGUUGGUGAUCAGUGAAGAGUUAGGUGACCAAGGAGGCUUGUUCAUGCACGGCUCUGUCCCUUCGGGACCAUGGAAACCCGCUACCCCGAGCCGCCAAUGAUGAGAACAGCAGUGUUGAGACGGCAUGAAGCAAGCUUCAUCAAGAGGGAGACUCCAAGAGCUCAUUUCUCGUCUGGCGAAUGUGGCAUGCGGAUUAACUCAAGAAGGAACCAAAGUCAACUCAGCUUUCUUCUCCCUCCUUAUAAGAGGCUUGGCAGAACCUUCAAACUCUUCCAACCGAGAAAAGAAUGGAAGGGCUGAUCCCAUACAUCUACAGGGCGAUCAAGAGAAGAAAGGCUCGCAAGUACUACCGGUCCCUCUCGACCGGUUCUUCGCAGUGGUUUGGCGACCCCAACACCCAGAGAUUCCUCCGGCCGGCGCCGAUCAAGCUCGGGAGUUUCCAUGAGGACCAGAAUGGCCACAGGAGGCACCGCUCGCUGGAGGACUUCUCGCCCGAGAGGGUUGGCGGCGGACAUGGCCGCUUGGCCAAGCAGACGAGGUUUGGGAGCAGCCGCAUGUUCUCAUGCAUUACUGGUGCGAAUUAGAUUGCAUGUGUAUGAACGAAUGAUCGAAGAUUUCAUGAACUUUGAAGACAAGUUGUGUUUAUGUACCUUUCGAUGCAAGUCUUCUUAUAAUGAUCUGUUCAUGUCAUAAAGUCUCCUUAGUAGGAGGAGGAGGAAGAAGAAUUCCUUCUGAUGUUGCAUAAAUUAUGCAAUCUUGUUUGUAAGAUAUGAUCGAAUUAUGUUGAGUUAAGAUUAAGUUGGUUGUUGAAA